Molecule: ribosomal RNA, 2908 nt
Filed under: Staphylococcus aureus
Lineage: Bacteria; Bacillati; Bacillota; Bacilli; Caryophanales; Staphylococcaceae
Description: bacterial LSU rRNA
Rfam family: Bacterial large subunit ribosomal RNA
Source: RNAcentral
AGGGCGCACGGUGGAUGCCUUGGCACUAGAAGCCGAUGAAGGACGUUACUAACGACGAUAUGCUUUGGGGAGCUGUAAGUAAGCUUUGAUCCAGAGAUUUCCGAAUGGGGAAACCCAGCAUGAGUUAUGUCAUGUUAUCGAUAUGUGAAUACAUAGCAUAUCAGAAGGCACACCCGGAGAACUGAAACAUCUUAGUACCCGGAGGAAGAGAAAGAAAAUUCGAUUCCCUUAGUAGCGGCGAGCGAAACGGGAAGAGCCCAAACCAACAAGCUUGCUUGUUGGGGUUGUAGGACACUCUAUACGGAGUUACAAAGGACGACAUUAGACGAAUCAUCUGGAAAGAUGAAUCAAAGAAGGUAAUAAUCCUGUAGUCGAAAAUGUUGUCUCUCUUGAGUGGAUCCUGAGUACGACGGAGCACGUGAAAUUCCGUCGGAAUCUGGGAGGACCAUCUCCUAAGGCUAAAUACUCUCUAGUGACCGAUAGUGAACCAGUACCGUGAGGGAAAGGUGAAAAGCACCCCGGAAGGGGAGUGAAAUAGAACCUGAAACCGUGUGCUUACAAGUAGUCAGAGCCCGUUAAUGGGUGAUGGCGUGCCUUUUGUAGAAUGAACCGGCGAGUUACGAUUUGAUGCAAGGUUAAGCAGUAAAUGUGGAGCCGUAGCGAAAGCGAGUCUGAAUAGGGCGUUUAGUAUUUGGUCGUAGACCCGAAACCAGGUGAUCUACCCUUGGUCAGGUUGAAGUUCAGGUAACACUGAAUGGAGGACCGAACCGACUUACGUUGAAAAGUGAGCGGAUGAACUGAGGGUAGCGGAGAAAUUCCAAUCGAACCUGGAGAUAGCUGGUUCUCUCCGAAAUAGCUUUAGGGCUAGCCUCAAGUGAUGAUUAUUGGAGGUAGAGCACUGUUUGGACGAGGGGCCCCUCUCGGGUUACCGAAUUCAGACAAACUCCGAAUGCCAAUUAAUUUAACUUGGGAGUCAGAACAUGGGUGAUAAGGUCCGUGUUCGAAAGGGAAACAGCCCAGACCACCAGCUAAGGUCCCAAAAUAUAUGUUAAGUGGAAAAGGAUGUGGCGUUGCCCAGACAACUAGGAUGUUGGCUUAGAAGCAGCCAUCAUUUAAAGAGUGCGUAAUAGCUCACUAGUCGAGUGACACUGCGCCGAAAAUGUACCGGGGCUAAACAUAUUACCGAAGCUGUGGAUUGUCCUUUGGACAAUGGUAGGAGGGCGUUCUAAGGGCGUUGAAGCAUGAUCGUAAGGACAUGUGGAGCGCUUAGAAGUGAGAAUGCCGGUGUGAGUAGCGAAAGACGGGUGAGAAUCCCGUCCACCGAUUGACUAAGGUUUCCAGAGGAAGGCUCGUCCGCUCUGGGUUAGUCGGGUCCUAAGCUGAGGCCGACAGGCGUAGGCGAUGGAUAACAGGUUGAUAUUCCUGUACCACCUAUAAUCGUUUUAAUCGAUGGGGGGACGCAGUAGGAUAGGCGAAGCGUGCGAUUGGAUUGCACGUCUAAGCAGUAAGGCUGAGUAUUAGGCAAAUCCGGUACUCGUUAAGGCUGAGCUGUGAUGGGGAGAAGACAUUGUGUCUUCGAGUCGUUGAUUUCACACUGCCGAGAAAAGCCUCUAGAUAGAAAAUAGGUGCCCGUACCGCAAACCGACACAGGUAGUCAAGAUGAGAAUUCUAAGGUGAGCGAGCGAACUCUCGUUAAGGAACUCGGCAAAAUGACCCCGUAACUUCGGGAGAAGGGGUGCUCUUUAGGGUUAACGCCCAGAAGAGCCGCAGUGAAUAGGCCCAAGCGACUGUUUAUCAAAAACACAGGUCUCUGCUAAACCGUAAGGUGAUGUAUAGGGGCUGACGCCUGCCCGGUGCUGGAAGGUUAAGAGGAGUGGUUAGCUUCUGCGAAGCUACGAAUCGAAGCCCCAGUAAACGGCGGCCGUAACUAUAACGGUCCUAAGGUAGCGAAAUUCCUUGUCGGGUAAGUUCCGACCCGCACGAAAGGCGUAACGAUUUGGGCACUGUCUCAACGAGAGACUCGGUGAAAUCAUAGUACCUGUGAAGAUGCAGGUUACCCGCGACAGGACGGAAAGACCCCGUGGAGCUUUACUGUAGCCUGAUAUUGAAAUUCGGCACAGCUUGUACAGGAUAGGUAGGAGCCUUUGAAACGUGAGCGCUAGCUUACGUGGAGGCGCUGGUGGGAUACUACCCUAGCUGUGUUGGCUUUCUAACCCGCACCACUUAUCGUGGUGGGAGACAGUGUCAGGCGGGCAGUUUGACUGGGGCGGUCGCCUCCUAAAAGGUAACGGAGGCGCUCAAAGGUUCCCUCAGAAUGGUUGGAAAUCAUUCAUAGAGUGUAAAGGCAUAAGGGAGCUUGACUGCGAGACCUACAAGUCGAGCAGGGUCGAAAGACGGACUUAGUGAUCCGGUGGUUCCGCAUGGAAGGGCCAUCGCUCAACGGAUAAAAGCUACCCCGGGGAUAACAGGCUUAUCUCCCCCAAGAGUUCACAUCGACGGGGAGGUUUGGCACCUCGAUGUCGGCUCAUCGCAUCCUGGGGCUGUAGUCGGUCCCAAGGGUUGGGCUGUUCGCCCAUUAAAGCGGUACGCGAGCUGGGUUCAGAACGUCGUGAGACAGUUCGGUCCCUAUCCGUCGUGGGCGUAGGAAAUUUGAGAGGAGCUGUCCUUAGUACGAGAGGACCGGGAUGGACAUACCUCUGGUGUACCAGUUGUCGUGCCAACGGCAUAGCUGGGUAGCUAUGUGUGGACGGGAUAAGUGCUGAAAGCAUCUAAGCAUGAAGCCCCCCUCAAGAUGAGAUUUCCCAACUUCGGUUAUAAGAUCCCUCAAAGAUGAUGAGGUUAAUAGGUUCGAGGUGGAAGCAUGGUGACAUGUGGAGCUGACGAAUACUAAUCGAUCGAAGACUUAAUC